This 835-nucleotide ribosomal RNA is filed under the name uncultured bacterium. RNAcentral describes it as "bacterial SSU rRNA". It matches the Rfam family "Bacterial small subunit ribosomal RNA", at positions 89 to 914 of the family's 1533-position model. The record is from RNAcentral.
UACCUAGUGGCAGACGGGUGAGUAACACGUAGUCAACCUACCCUUGCGUGGGGGAUAACUAGCCGAAAGGUUAGCUAAUACCGCAUACGAUCGUCGAGAGGCAUCUUUUGACGAUGAAAGGAGCAAUUCGCGCGAGGACGGGACUGCGUCCCAUUAGCUAGUAGGUGGGGUAAAGGCCUACCUAGGCGAUGAUCAGUAGCUGGUCUGAGAGGAUGAUCAGCCACACUGGGACUGAGACACGGCCCAGACUCCUACGGGAGGCAGCAGUGGGGAAUUUUGGACAAUGGGCGCAAGCCUGAUCCAGCCAUUCCGCGUGAGUGAAGAAGGCCUUCGGGUUGUAAAGCUCUUUCGGCAGGGAAGAAAAGGUCUGGGUUAAUAACCUGGACUGCUGACGGUACCUGAAGAAGAAGCACCGGCUAACUACGUGCCAGCAGCCGCGGUAAUACGUAGGGUACGAGCGUUAAUCGGAAUUACUGGGCGUAAAGCGUGCGCAGGCGGUUUAUCAAGUCUGACGUGAAAGCCCCGGGCUUAACCUGGGAACGGCGUUGGAAACUGAUAGACUUGAGUGCGGCAGAGGGGGGUAGAAUUCCACGUGUAGCAGUGAAAUGCGUAGAUAUGUGGAGGAAUACCGAUGGCGAAGGCAGCCCCCUGGGUUGACACUGACGCUCAUGCACGAAAGCGUGGGUAGCAAACAGGAUUAGAUACCCUGGUAGUCCACGCCCUAAACGAUGUCAACUAGUUGUUGGGGAGGGAGACCUCCUUGGUAACGCAGCUAACGCGUGAAGUUGACCGCCUGGGGAGUACGGUCGCAAGAUUAAAACUCAAAGGAAUUGAC